AACACGUGAGUAACCUGCCCUGGACUCUGGGAUAACCCCGAGAAAUCGGAGCUAAUACCGGAUAGGACCUGGAACCGCAUGGUUUUGGGUGGAAAGUUUUUCGGUCUGGGAUGGACUCGCGGCCUAUCAGCUUGUUGGUGAGGUAAUGGCUCACCAAGGCGUCGACGGGUAGCCGGCCUGAGAGGGUGACCGGCCACACUGGGACUGAGACACGGCCCAGACUCCUACGGGAGGCAGCAGUGGGGAAUAUUGCACAAUGGGCGCAAGCCUGAUGCAGCAACGCCGCGUGAGGGAUGACGGCCUUCGGGUUGUAAACCUCUUUUAGUAGGGAAGAAGGGCUUCGGCUUGACGGUACCUGCAGAAAAAGCACCGGCUAACUACGUGCCAGCAGCCGCGGUAAUACGUAGGGUGCGAGCGUUGUCCGGAAUUAUUGGGCGUAAAGAGCUCGUAGGCGGUUUGUCACGUCUGCUGUGAAAUCCCGAGGCUCAACCUCGGGCCUGCAGUGGGUACGGGCAGACUGGAGUGCGGUAGGGGAGAAUGGAAUUCCUGGUGUAGCGGUGGAAUGCGCAGAUAUCAGGAGGAACACCGAUGGCGAAGGCAGUUCUCUGGGCCGUAACUGACGCUGAGGAGCGAAAGCGUGGGGAGCGAACAGGAUUAGAUACCCUGGUAGUCCACGCCGUAAACGUUGGGCGCUAGAUGUGGGGACCUUUCCACGGUUUCCGUGUCGUAGCUAACGCAUUAAGCGCCCCGCCUGGGGAGUACGGCCGCAAGGCUAAAACUCAAAGGAAUUGACGGGGGCCCGCACAAGCGGCGGAGCAUGCGGAUUAAUUCGAUGCAACGCGAAGAACCUUACCAAGGCUUGACAUAACCGAGAACGCCGCAGAAAUGUGGAACUCUUUGGACACUCGGUUACAGGUGGUGCAUGGUUGUCGUCAGCUCGUGUCGUGAGAUGUUGGGUUAAGUCCCGCAACGAGCGCAACCCUCGUCGUAUGUUGCCAGCACGUCAUGGUGGGAACUCAUAUGAGACUGCCGGGGUCAACUCGGAGGAAGGUGGGGAUGACGUCAAAUCAUCAUGCCCCUUAUGUCUUGGGCUUCACGCAUGCUACAAUGGCCGGUACAAAGGGCUGCGAUGUCGUAAGGCGGAGCGAAUCCCAAAAAGCCGGUCUCAGUUCGGAUUGAGGUCUGCAACUCGACCUCAUGAAGUCGGAGUCGCUAGUAAUCGCAGAUCAGCAACGCUGCGGUGAAUACGUUCCCGGGCCUUGUACACACCGCCCGUCAAGUCAUGAAAGUC
This 1291-nucleotide ribosomal RNA is filed under the name Agromyces sp. Its description in RNAcentral is "bacterial SSU rRNA". It matches the Rfam family "Bacterial small subunit ribosomal RNA", at positions 112 to 1412 of the family's 1533-position model. The record is from RNAcentral. Lineage: Bacteria; Bacillati; Actinomycetota; Actinomycetes; Micrococcales; Microbacteriaceae.